This 69-nucleotide transfer RNA is filed under the name Marmota monax (woodchuck). Its description in RNAcentral is "tRNA.Ala". Lineage: Eukaryota; Metazoa; Chordata; Mammalia; Rodentia; Sciuridae. The record is from RNAcentral.
GGAGUUGUGGAUCAGUGGUAGAGUGCUUGCCUAGCAUGUAUGAGGCACUGGGUUUGAUUCUCAGCACCA